Long non-coding RNA from Peromyscus eremicus (cactus mouse), 1159 nucleotides. RefSeq lists it as uncharacterized. NCBI's taxonomy places the organism in Eukaryota, Metazoa, Chordata, Mammalia, Rodentia, Cricetidae. The record is from RefSeq and is a predicted model, not a curated record. The transcript is spliced from 2 exons.
GCUAAGUCCUGCCAAGGUCUUGGAUCCACCUCUUCUAGUUCCCCUGAGCAGCCCUAGCUCCCCUGGGGAGAACACACACUCCAUCUUGACAUCUAUUCCUAGCUUAGAGACUGUGUCCGGCCACUUCACACUCUGCACCUUGAUUUCUUUUGUGUACUAUGAGUCAGUUCCCUGGAAACUGUCUUGGGACUCUGUUGUGACAGGUAUCCCUGAUUCAGCUUCCUGUUCCAGACCCUCUAUACUGUCAUCCCGGCCCAAUUUCGUGUCUCUCAUCCCGCUUACCCUUCAUUGUCGGACGCUUCCGGAGCGCUUUGAUGACGUUUCCUUCAGGUCUCACUCACUCUUCCCCUUUCUUCACUUCGUUCAGCAGCUUUCAGCCACCAGGACUCUUUCUUGUUUACCUUUCCGCUGGAAAAAUCCCUUGUGCCCAAGAAACAACUUGCGCACAGUACACAGACAGACUUGCUCCAGGCGGCAUCAAUGGAUGAGACCAGAUCUCGGACAAUGCGCCUUGUGUGACGCCAUCGAAGCGCGACGGGCUCUGGCGGUGCAUGCGCCUUGGGUUUAGCUCUGCUGCCGAGGGAGGGGCUAGCUAAGCGCCGGUUCUGUGGCCGGUGGAGUCUGUUAUUUGUGGCCUCUUCAGUUUAUGGCUCUCCUGGCCGAACAGUCCGGUUGCAGUGAUGAAUGGUAAACUUUGCAUCAUGGAUAGUCAUGCAUUUUCCCACGAGUGAAUCUAUGAAAAUUCUGUGAGAAUUUGAGGUUCAAUGGCAUGAUGGUGACUUCACCCACUUCCAACAACUUACUAUGGAAAACUUGAAGUAGGAUUGGUGAGAUGGCCAGCAGGUAAGGGUGUUUGCCAUCUAAAUCUGACCACCUGAAUUCCAUCACCAAAUUCCACCAGGACAGAAAAGGACUGACUCCAGAGAGUCGACCUGUUACCUCCCCAUACAUGCUGUGCCACGUGUGUACCACACUCACAUACACCUACUCCAGUCAGUACCAGUAUACUUCUACAGUUGACAUCUUGCUACAUUUGUGCAGAUUAUGUUGGCUUGCUGUCUUAAGACCUUCAGGCUGUCAUAUCAAAGACAGAAGCACAUUUUCAUACAGAGAUUCAAGAAUAACUUCAGUUAUUAAACACAUGAGUAUUUGAAAAUCA